CGUGCUUAACACAUGCAAGUCGAACGGUAAGGCCCUUCGGGGUACACGAGUGGCGAACGGGUGAGUAACACGUGGGUGAUCUGCCCUGCACUUCGGGAUAAGCCUGGGAAACUGGGUCUAAUACCGGAUAGGACUCCUGGCUUCAUGGUUGGGGGUGUAAAGCUUUUGCGGUGUGGGAUGGGCCCGCGGCCUAUCAGCUUGUUGGUGGGGUAAUGGCCUACCAAGGCGACGACGGGUAGCCGGCCUGAGAGGGUGACCGGCCACACUGGGACUGAGAUACGGCCCAGACUCCUACGGGAGGCAGCAGUGGGGAAUAUUGCACAAUGGGCGCAAGCCUGAUGCAGCGACGCCGCGUGAGGGAUGACGGCCUUCGGGUUGUAAACCUCUUUCAAUAGGGACGAAGCGCAAGUGACGGUACCUAUAGAAGAAGGACCGGCCAACUACGUG
RNAcentral lists this ribosomal RNA (447 nucleotides) under uncultured bacterium. RNAcentral describes it as "bacterial SSU rRNA". It matches the Rfam family "Bacterial small subunit ribosomal RNA", at positions 43 to 507 of the family's 1533-position model. The record is from RNAcentral.